GACGAACGCUCUCAGGCGUGCUUAACACAUGCAAGUCGAACGGAAAGGCCCUGCUUUUGUGGGGUGCUCGAGUGGCGAACGGGUGAUUAACACGUGAGUAACCUGCCCUUGACUUUGGGAUAACUUCAGGAAACUGGGGCUAAUACCGGAUAGGAGCUCCUGCUGCAUGGUGGGGGUUGGAAAGUUUCGGCGGUUGGGGAUGGACUCGCGGCUUAUCAGCUUGUUGGUGGGGUAGUGGCUUACCAAGGCUUUGACGGGUAGCCGGCCUGAGAGGGUGACCGGCCACAUUGGGACUGAGAUACGGCCCAGACUCCUACGGGAGGCAGCAGUGGGGAAUAUUGCACAAUGGGCGGAAGCCUGAUGCAGCAACGCCGCGUGCGGGAUGACGGCCUUCGGGUUGUAAACCGCUUUCGCCUGUGACGAAGCGUGAGUGACGGUAAUGGGUAAAGAAGCACCGGCUAACUACGUGCCAGCAGCCGCGGUGAUACGUAGGGUGCGAGCGUUGUCCGGAUUUAUUGGGCGUAAAGGGCUCGUAGGUGGUUGAUCGCGUCGGAAGUGUAAUCUUGGGGCUUAACCCUGAGCGUGCUUUCGAUACGGGUUGACUUGAGGAAGGUAGGGGAGAAUGGAAUUCCUGGUGGAGCGGUGGAAUGCGCAGAUAUCAGGAGGAACACCAGUGGCGAAGGCGGUUCUCUGGGCCUUUCCUGACGCUGAGGAGCGAAAGCGUGGGGAGCGAACAGGCUUAGAUACCCUGGUAGUCCACGCUGUAAACGGUGGGUACUAGGUGUGGGGUCCAUUCCACGGGUUCCGUGCCGUAGCUAACGCUUUAAGUACCCCGCCUGGGGAGUACGGCCGCAAGGCUAAAACUCGAAGGAAUUGACGGGGCCCCGCACAAGCGGCGGAGCAUGCGGAUUAAUUCGAUGCAACGCGUAGAACCUUACCUGGGUUUGACAUGGAUCGGGAGUGCUCAGAGAUGGGUGUGCCUCUUUUGGGGUCGGUUCACAGGUGGUGCAUGCCUGUCGUCAGCUCGUGUCGUGAGAUGUUGGGUUAAGUCCCGCAACGAGCGCAACCCUUGUUCACUGUUGCCAGCACGUUAUGGUGGGGACUCAGUGGAGACCGCCGGGGUCAACUCGGAGGAAGGUGGGGAUGACGUCAAGUCCUCAUGCCCCUUAUGUCCAGGGCUUCACGCAUGCUACAAUGGCUGGUACAGAGAGUGGCGAGCCUGUGAGGGUGAGCGAAUCUCGGAAAGCCGGUCUCAGUUCGGAUUGGGGUCUGCAACUCGACCUCAUGAAGUCGGAGUCGCUAGUAAUCGCAGAUCAGCAACGCUGCGGUGAAUACGUUCCCGGGGCU
This 1347-nucleotide ribosomal RNA is filed under the name uncultured bacterium. RNAcentral describes it as "bacterial SSU rRNA". It matches the Rfam family "Bacterial small subunit ribosomal RNA", at positions 28 to 1381 of the family's 1533-position model. The record is from RNAcentral.